This 1395-nucleotide ribosomal RNA is filed under the name Triticum aestivum (bread wheat). Its description in RNAcentral is "partial small subunit ribosomal RNA". The record is from RNAcentral. Lineage: Eukaryota; Viridiplantae; Streptophyta; Magnoliopsida; Poales; Poaceae.
AUGGCGUCCACGGCGGCGAGGCGGCUCAGGGAGCUGCAGGGGCAGUCGGGGAACAAGACGUGCGUCGACUGCGCGCAGAGGAACCCGCAGUGGGCCAGCGUCUCCUACGGCGUCUUCAUGUGCCUCGAGUGCUCCGGCAAGCACCGGGGCCUCGGCGUGCACAUCAGCUUCGUCCGCUCCGUCACCAUGGACUCCUGGACCGAGCCGCAGCUCCGCAGGAUGGAGGCCGGGGGCAACGACCGCCUCAACGCCUUCCUCACCGCGCGGGGCGUGCCCAAGGACACGCCCCACAUCCCCAAGUACAACUCCAACGCCGCCGCCGCCUACCGCGACCGCAUCGUCGCCCUCGCCGAAGGCCGCGCGUGGACCGACCCGCCCGUCGUUAAGGAGACGCCCGGAUCUGGCGCGCCCGCCCCCGCCAGGAGGCCGCCCUUGCCCGCCGGAGGAGGGGGUGGAGGCGGUGGCGGCGGAUGGGACGAUUGGGACGACGAGGUCCGUCCGGAUAUGCGUAGGAACCAAUCGGCCGGAUCGUUUGCUGGCGCUGGACCGGAUUCGGGGAGACAGCCGACGAGGUCCAAGUCCACUCAGGACAUAUACACCAAGCAGGAGCUUGAGGCGUCGUCGGCCAGCAAGGAGGAUUUUUUCGCUAGGAGAAUGGCGGAGAACGAGUCCAAGCCUCAGGGGAUCCCUCCCUCUCAGGGCGGCAAGUACGUCGGCUUCGGAUCCACCCCGCCGCCGUCGGCGAAUAGGAACAACAACGGUGCUGCCCAGGGCGAUGUCAUGCAGGCUGUUUCCCAGGGAUUUGGACGCCUUUCGCUUGUUGCAGCAUCUGCUGCCCAAUCUGCUGCUACUGUUGUCCAAGUUGGCACAAAAGAGAUUCAGUCAAAGAUGAGGGAAGGGGGUUAUGAUCAGAAGGUGAACGAAACUGUCAAUGUUGUAACCAAUAAAACUGCAGAGAUAGGAAGCAGAACCUGGGGGAUUAUGAAAGGAGUGAUGGCAUUGGCCACACAAAAGGUAGAGGAGUAUGCCAAGGAAGGGGGAGUGGGCGGUGGCUGGGGUGAUGAUUGGCAACAAAGGGAGCAGCAGAACAACAGCAACGAGCCUUACCGCAGGUAUGAGCAGGAGACCAGCAACGGCAACGGCUGGAAUUCUCCGCAAGAUGGAUCAGCUAAGAACCAGAACCAUAAUUCCAAUUCUUGGGAUGAUUGGGAUGACCAAGACAAGAAGGAUGAGCCUGCCAAGACAAGACAGAGCAGCGAUUCGUGGGCCGGCUGGGACGAUGCGAAAGAUGACGGUUUUGAUAGUUACAGCCAUCACAGCCCCGCCAACAAGGGUGGGAGCAAUCAGAAUGGAACUGCUGGCGGGUCAUAUUGGGCCGACGGCGGCUUCCGCUGA